UUGCCCAAUGAUUAUAGCAAGACGCGUUAUUAUGAGGACUAAUGCUGGAACUCUUCCUCCUCCUCCUCCUCCUUUGUCCCUUCCACUUUGACCUUACCCCCCUCACUUCCCUCAGGGUAUCCAGCGUCCUAUGAGCAAGACUGAGAUAUGAGGGCAA
This 157-nucleotide small nucleolar RNA is filed under the name Patagioenas fasciata monilis. RNAcentral's name for it is "Small nucleolar RNA SNORD97". It matches the Rfam family "Small nucleolar RNA SNORD97". The record is from Rfam by way of RNAcentral. Lineage: Eukaryota; Metazoa; Chordata; Aves; Columbiformes; Columbidae.